Molecule: ribosomal RNA, 417 nt
Filed under: uncultured bacterium
Lineage: Bacteria
Description: bacterial SSU rRNA
Rfam family: Bacterial small subunit ribosomal RNA
Source: RNAcentral
UACUCCUACGGGAGGCAGCAGCUAAGAAUAUUCCGCAAUGGACGAAAGUCUGACGGAGCGACGCCGCGUGGAUGAAGAAGGCCGAAAGGUUGUAAAAUCCUUUUGCUGGGGAAGAAUAAGUCUGGGAGGGAAUGCCCGGAUGAUGACAUGAACCGGCGAAUAAGCCCCGGCCAACUACGUGCCAGCAGCCGCGGUAACACGUAGGGGGCGAGCGUUGUUCGGAAUUACUGGGCGUAAAGGGCAUGUAGGCAGUUUUGUAAGCUUGGCGUGAAAGUCCACGGCUCAACUGUGGGAUAGCGUUGAGAACUGCGAAGCUUGAGUUAUGGAGAGGGAGCUAGAAUUCCUGGUGUAGGGGUGGAAUCUGUAGAGAUCAGGAAGAAUACCAAUGGCGAAGGCAAGCUCCUGGCCGAUGACUGA